RNAcentral lists this ribosomal RNA (647 nucleotides) under uncultured bacterium. Its description in RNAcentral is "bacterial SSU rRNA". It matches the Rfam family "Bacterial small subunit ribosomal RNA", at positions 268 to 916 of the family's 1533-position model. The record is from RNAcentral.
CCAAGGCGACGAUCAGUAGGGGAACUGAGAGGUUGAUCCCCCACACUGGCACUGAGAUACGGGCCAGACUCCUACGGGAGGCAGCAGUAGGGAAUAUUGGACAAUGGGUGAGAGCCUGAUCCAGCCAUGCCGCGUGCAGGAAGAAGGCCUUCUGGGUUGUAAACUGCUUUUGCCAGGGGAUAAAAGACCCUUGCGAGGGAAAUUGAAGGUACCUGGUGAAUAAGCCACGGCUAACUACGUGCCAGCAGCCGCGGUAAUACGUAGGUGGCAAGCGUUGUCCGGAUUUAUUGGGUUUAAAGGGUGCGUAGGCUGUUCCUUAAGUCAGUGGUGAAAUACAGCCGCUUAACGGUUGAGGUGCCAUUGAUACUGGGGAACUUGAGUACAGACGAGGUAGGCGGAAUUGACGGUGUAGCGGUGAAAUGCAUAGAUAUCGUCAAGAACACCGAUAGCGAAGGCAGCUUACUAGACUGUAACUGACGCUGAUGCACGAAAGUGUGGGGAUCAAACAGGAUUAGAUACCCUGGUAGUCCACACUGUAAACGAUGAUUACUCGAUGUUGGCGAUACACAGCCAGCGUCUUAGCAAAAGCGAUAAGUAAUCCACCUGGGGAGUACGCCGGCAACGGUGAAACUCAAAGGAAUUGACGG